CCUACGGGUGGCAGCAGUGGGGAAUCUUGCGCAAUGGGCGAAAGCCUGACGCAGCGACGCCGCGUGUGCGAUGAAGGUCUUCGGAUCGUAAAGCACUGUCGCGAGGGAAAAAGCCAGUGAUGGUACCUCGAAAGGAAGCACCGGCUAACUCUGUGCCAGCAGCCGCGGUAAUACAGAGGGUGCGAGCGUUGUUCGGAAUUAUUGGGCGUAAAGCGCUUGUAGGCGGUUUGCCAAGUCGCAUGUGAAAGCUCCAGGCUCAACCUGGAAAGUGCGCGCGAAACUGGCAGACUUGAAUGCCGGAGAGGGUGGCGGAAUUCCCGGUGUAGAGGUGAAAUUCGUAGAUAUCGGGAGGAACACCAGAGGCGAAGGCGGCCACCUGGACGGACAUUGACGCUGAGAAGCGAAAGCGUGGGGAGCAAACAGGAUUAGAUACCCUUGUAGUC
This 443-nucleotide ribosomal RNA is filed under the name uncultured bacterium. RNAcentral describes it as "bacterial SSU rRNA". It matches the Rfam family "Bacterial small subunit ribosomal RNA", at positions 338 to 795 of the family's 1533-position model. The record is from RNAcentral.